Molecule: ribosomal RNA, 405 nt
Filed under: Temora turbinata
Lineage: Eukaryota; Metazoa; Arthropoda; Copepoda; Calanoida; Temoridae
Description: eukaryotic LSU rRNA
Rfam family: Eukaryotic large subunit ribosomal RNA
Source: RNAcentral
AGACCGAUAGCAAACAAGUACAGUGAUGGAAAUUUGAAAAGAACUUUGAAGAGAGAGUUAAGAGUACGUGAAACUGUAUGGCAGUAAACACAGCCUUCCUCGAAGUUUGCCCGGGAGACCCAACCUAGGGGUGGGCCAGCCCUUGGCGCCUGAUCAGCAAUGACUGGCGUCGGGGUGCCUGGUCUGUCCACGGGUGCAUCUCUCUCGGGUGUUACGGUAGGAACUGUUGGGACUGGACCAAGGGCCUGGGAUGAAGUUCUCGCUCCGGCGUUAGCUCCCGGUGUCCCGGCUCCGGACCCGACAGGCCUAGUGGCCGACUUGUACAGCAAGCAACCCUUCUGUUGCGGUCGGUCCUUCCCUAUCGAGUAGGUCGGCGGAGGCUGUGACCCGUCUUGAAACACGGAC